GACGAACGCUGGCGGCGCGCUUAACACAUGCAAGUCGAACGGAAAGGCCCUGCUUUUGUGGGGUGCUCGAGUGGCGAACGGGUGAGUAACACGUGAGUAACCUUCCCUUGACUUUGGGAUAAAUUCAGGAAACUGGGGCUAAUACUGGCUAGGAGCUCCUGCUGCCUGGUGGGGGUUGGAAAGUUUCGGCGGUUGGGGAUGGACUCGCGGCUUAUCAGCUUGUUGGUGGGGUAGUGGCUUACCAAGGCUUAGACGGGUAGCCGGCCUGAGAGGGUGACCGGCCACAUUGGGACUGAGAUACGGCCCAGACUCCUACGGGAGGCAGCAGUGGGGAAUAUUGCACAAUGGGCGGAAGCCUGAUGCAGCAACGCCGCGUGCGGGAUGACGGCCUUCGGGUUGUAAACCGCUUUCGCCUGUGACGGAGCGUGAGUGACGGUAAUGGGUAAAGAAGCACCGGCUAACUACGUGCCAGCAGCCGCAGUAA
RNAcentral lists this ribosomal RNA (484 nucleotides) under uncultured bacterium. Its description in RNAcentral is "partial 16S ribosomal RNA". It matches the Rfam family "Bacterial small subunit ribosomal RNA", at positions 28 to 523 of the family's 1533-position model. The record is from RNAcentral.